CCUACGGGUGGCAGCAGUAGGGAAUAUUGCUCAAUGGGGGAAACCCUGAAGCAGCAACGCCGCGUGGAGGAUGGUGGUUUUAGGAUGGUAAACUCCUUUUGUUAGAGAAGAUUAUUACUGUAUCUAACGAAUAAGCACCGGCUAACUCCGUGCCAGCAGCCGCGGUAAUCCGGAGGGUGCAAGCGUUACUCGGAAUCACUGGGCGUAAGGAGUGCGUAGGCGGGGGAAUAGGGCAGAUGUGAAAGCCUGUAGCUUACCUACAGAACUGCAUUUGAAACUGUUACUCUGGAGUGUGGGAGAGGUAGGUGGAAUGCUUGGUGUAGGGGUAAAAUCCGUAGAGAUCAAGAGGAAUACUCAUUGCGAAGGCGACCUGCUGGAACAUUAUUGACGCUGAUGCACGAAAGCGUGGGGAGCAAACAGGAUUAGAUACCCGGGUAGUC
RNAcentral lists this ribosomal RNA (440 nucleotides) under uncultured bacterium. RNAcentral's name for it is "partial 16S ribosomal RNA". It matches the Rfam family "Bacterial small subunit ribosomal RNA", at positions 338 to 795 of the family's 1533-position model. The record is from RNAcentral.